RNAcentral lists this transfer RNA (62 nucleotides) under Chelodina colliei. Its description in RNAcentral is "tRNA-Ser". The record is from RNAcentral. Lineage: Eukaryota; Metazoa; Chordata; Testudines; Chelidae.
GAGAAAGAUAAACAUAAGAACUGCUAAUUCUUACAACUGAGACUAAAACCCCAGCUCUCUCA